UACGUAGGGUGCAAGCGUUGUCCGGAAUUAUUGGGCGUAAAGAGCUCGUAGGCGGUCUGUCGCGUCUGCUGUGAAAACUCAGGGCUUAACCCUGAGCUUGCAGUGGGUACGGGCAGGCUAGAGUGCGGUAGGGGAGACUGGAAUUCCUGGUGUAGCGGUGAAAUGCGCAGAUAUCAGGAGGAACACCGGUGGCGAAGGCGGGUCUCUGGGCCGUAACUGACGCUGAGGAGCGAAAGCAUGGGGAGCGAACAGG
This 253-nucleotide ribosomal RNA is filed under the name uncultured bacterium. Its description in RNAcentral is "partial 16S ribosomal RNA". It matches the Rfam family "Bacterial small subunit ribosomal RNA", at positions 524 to 776 of the family's 1533-position model. The record is from RNAcentral.